RNAcentral lists this ribosomal RNA (252 nucleotides) under uncultured bacterium. RNAcentral describes it as "partial 16S ribosomal RNA". It matches the Rfam family "Bacterial small subunit ribosomal RNA", at positions 524 to 776 of the family's 1533-position model. The record is from RNAcentral.
UACGUAGGGUGCAAGCGUUAAUCGGAAUUACUGGGCGUAAAGCGUGCGCAGGCGGUUCGCUAAGACCGAUGUGAAAUCCCCGGGCUUAACCUGGGAACUGCAUUGGUGACUGGCGGGCUAGAGUAUGGCAGAGGGGGUAGGAAUUCCACGUGUAGCAGUGAAAUGCGUAGAGAUGUGGAGGAAUACCGAUGGCGAAGGCAGCCCCUGGGCCAAUACUGACGCUCAUGCACGAAAGCGUGGGGAGCAAACAGG